AAAUUGAAGAGUUUGAUCAUGGCUCAGAUUGAACGCUGGCGGCAGGCCUAACACAUGCAAGUCGAGCGGUAGCACAGAGAGCUUGCUCUCGGGUGACGAGCGGCGGACGGGUGAGUAAUGUCUGGGAAACUGCCUGAUGGAGGGGGAUAACUACUGGAAACGGUAGCUAAUACCGCAUAAUGUCGCAAGACCAAAGUGGGGGACCUUCGGGCCUCAUGCCAUCAGAUGUGCCCAGAUGGGAUUAG
This 245-nucleotide ribosomal RNA is filed under the name Klebsiella pneumoniae. Its description in RNAcentral is "partial 16S ribosomal RNA". It matches the Rfam family "Bacterial small subunit ribosomal RNA", at positions 1 to 244 of the family's 1533-position model. The record is from RNAcentral. Lineage: Bacteria; Pseudomonadati; Pseudomonadota; Gammaproteobacteria; Enterobacterales; Enterobacteriaceae.